GGAAUCUUAGACAAUGGGCGCAAGCCUGAUCUAGCCAUGCCGCGUGAGUGAUGAAGGCCUUAGGGUCGUAAAGCUCUUUCGCUGGGGAAGAUAAUGACUGUACCCAGUAAAGAAACCCCGGCUAACUCCGUGCCAGCAGCCGCGGUAAUACGGAGGGGGUUAGCGUUGUUCGGAAUUACUGGGCGUAAAGCGCGCGUAGGCGGAUCAGAAAGUUGGGGGUGAAAUCCCGGGGCUCAACCUCGGAACUGCCUCCAAAACUCCUGGUCUUGAGUUCGAGAGAGGUGAGUGGAAUUCCGAGUGUAGAGGUGAAAUUCGUAGAUAUUCGGAGGAACACCAGUGGCGAAGGCGGCUCACUGGCUCGAUACUGACGCUGAGGUGCGAAAGUGUGGGGAGCAAACAGGAUUAGAAACCCCGGUAGUCC
This 421-nucleotide ribosomal RNA is filed under the name uncultured bacterium. Its description in RNAcentral is "bacterial SSU rRNA". It matches the Rfam family "Bacterial small subunit ribosomal RNA", at positions 358 to 796 of the family's 1533-position model. The record is from RNAcentral.